RNAcentral lists this non-coding RNA (25 nucleotides) under Mus musculus (house mouse). Lineage: Eukaryota; Metazoa; Chordata; Mammalia; Rodentia; Muridae. The record is from RNAcentral.
UGAAAGCUAGGGGCCACAGGUGAUG